GAGAUGUUCUCUUAAGAUUCAAAAGGCUGCUAACUUUUUUUAGAGUGACUAAGAAUCAUUCACAUCUCU
Molecule: transfer RNA, 69 nt
Filed under: Crassiplana albatrossi
Lineage: Eukaryota; Metazoa; Platyhelminthes; Polycladida; Callioplanidae
Description: tRNA-Ser
Source: RNAcentral